Molecule: ribosomal RNA, 374 nt
Filed under: Nematoda sp.
Lineage: Eukaryota; Metazoa; Nematoda
Description: SSU rRNA
Rfam family: Eukaryotic small subunit ribosomal RNA
Source: RNAcentral
CUGAAUAACUACGCUGAUCGCACGGGCUUGUCCCGGCGACGUAUCCUUCAAGUGUCUGCCUUAUCAACUUUCGAUGGUAGUUUAUAUGACUACCAUGGUUGUAACGGGUAACGGAGAAUAAGGGUUCGACUCCGGAGAGGGAGCCUGAGAAACGGCUACCACAUCCAAGGAAGGCAGCAGGCGCGCAAAUUACCCACUCUCAGAACGAGGAGGUAGUGACGAAAAAUAACGAGACAGUUCUCUAUGAGGUCUGUCAUCGGAAUGGGUACAAUCUAAACCCUUUAACGAGGAUCUAUUGGAGGGCAAGUCUGGUGCCAGCAGCCGCGGUAAUUCCAGCUCCAAUAGCGUAUAUUAAAGUUGUUGCGGUUAAAAAG